This 439-nucleotide ribosomal RNA is filed under the name uncultured bacterium. RNAcentral's name for it is "partial 16S ribosomal RNA". It matches the Rfam family "Bacterial small subunit ribosomal RNA", at positions 339 to 795 of the family's 1533-position model. The record is from RNAcentral.
CUACGGGAUGCAGCAGUAAGGAAUAUUGGACAAUGGGGGCAACCCUGAUCCAGCCAUGCCGCGUGAGUGAAGAAGGCCUUCGGGUUGUAAAGCUCUUUCAGUAGUAAAGAUGAUGACGGUAACUACAGAAGAAGCUCCGGCUAACUUCGUGCCAGCAGCCGCGGUAAUACGAAGGGGGCGAGCGUUGUUCGGAAUCACUGGGCUUAAAGCGUGCGUAGGCGGCCAUUCAAGUCAGGAGUGAAAUCCCGGGGCUCAACCCCGGAACUGCUUUUGAAACUGGAUGGCUGGAGUCCCGGAGAGGUUGGCGGAAUUCCGAGUGUAGAGGUGAAAUUCGCAGAUAUUCGGAGGAACACCAGUGGCGAAGGCGGCCAACUGGACGGGUACUGACGCUGAGGCACGAAAGCGUGGGGAUCAAACAGGAUUAGAUACCCCGGUAGUC